GUGGAUAUAGUUCAAUUGGUAGAACAACUGUAUGUGGCACAGUAAGUUCCCUGUUCAAUUCAGGGUAUCCUCCCUA
Molecule: transfer RNA, 76 nt
Filed under: Rickettsiales bacterium
Lineage: Bacteria; Pseudomonadati; Pseudomonadota; Alphaproteobacteria; Rickettsiales
Description: tRNA-His
Rfam family: tRNA
About the family: Transfer RNA (tRNA) molecules are approximately 80 nucleotides in length.
Source: RNAcentral